RNAcentral lists this ribosomal RNA (852 nucleotides) under uncultured organism. RNAcentral describes it as "bacterial SSU rRNA". It matches the Rfam family "Bacterial small subunit ribosomal RNA", at positions 505 to 1346 of the family's 1533-position model. The record is from RNAcentral.
GUGCCAGCAGCCGCGGUAACACGGAAGCCCCGAGCGUUGUUCGGAUUCAUUGGGCGUAAAGGGUGCGUAGGCGGCGCGGAAAGUCCGGCGUGAAAGGCAGAGGCUCAACCUCUGGACUGCGUUGGAUACUUCCGUGCUUGAGGACUGGAGGGGAGACUGGAAUUCACGGUGUAGCAGUGAAAUGCGUAGAUAUCGUGAGGAAGACCGGUGGCGAAGGCGAGUCUCUGGACAGAUCCUGACGCUGAGGCACGAAGGCUGGGGGAGCGAACAGGAUUAGAUACCCUGGUAGUCCCAGCAGUAAACGAUGUGAGCUUGAUGUGGGGGGAUUCGACCCCUUCCGUGUCGAAGCUAACGCGAUAAGCUCACCGCCUGAGGAGUACGGCCGCAAGGCUAAAACUCAAAGAAAUUGACGGGGACCCGCACAAGCGGUGGAGUAUGUGGCUUAAUUCGAUGCAACGCGAAGAACCUUACCUGGCCUUGACAUGCAUUGUGUCGUCGGUGAAAGCCGGCUAGUCCUGGAAACAGGACGCUUUGCACAGGUGCUGCAUGGCUGUCGUCAGCUCGUGUCGUGAGAUGUUGGGUUAAGUCCCGCAACGAGCGCAACCCUUGUGGUCAGUUACUAACCGGCUUAGCCGGAGGACUCUGGCCAGACUGCCCUGUCAAACGGGGAGGAAGGUGGGGACGACGUCAAGUCAGUAUGGCCCUUAUGGCCAGGGCUGCACACGUACUACAAUGCCCGGUACAAUGUGAACCGAAACCGCGAGGUGGAGGAAAUCGCUCUUGAAAACCGGGCCCAGUUCGGAUUGGAGUCUGCAACUCGACUCCAUGAAGUCGGAAUCGCUAGUAAUGGCG